UUUUUCAUUUUCAAUACAGAUUAUUUCUCUCUCUAAAUGCUCUUUGGAAGCUUCUACCUAACCGACUCUCUCUCAUCUUGUUCUUCGAUUUCGUCUGGAUUUCUUGAUGUUUUCAUGGUAUCAUAGUCUAGACGAUGAUCCGACUAUACUUUCCUGCAUCUUGUUAUCUUGGUUGAAGUCUCGUUGGAAAUUUUUGGGGGUGUUUAUGACGUAUUUGGUCGAUGACGAUUCCGAUCUAAAUCGGAUGUUGAUCUGAGACUUUCAUCGUGAUAUCUGGGUAUAUCUUCUUCACUCGAACGUUUUUGGUGAUUUUCCGGUGACUUUUGGGUGAUUUUCCUGUGACUCUCCAGAUUCUAGGGUUUCUGGUGGUUGAACCUAGGGUUUUACUGCUAUCUGGUGGCUCGAUCCUCACUCAGUGGAUGUUUUGGGUGACUUUCCGACAUUCCUGACCCUAUUUCGGUAAGUUUCCAGUAAGGUUUCCGGCGGUUGGACCUAGGGUUUUGAACCUAGGGUUUUAUCUGGCGAUUGAAGGUCGUUCUUCUCCGGUCGCGAAGAAGAAGGGUAACUCUAUCCCUAUUCUAAGUGUUGUAUGUUUUGCAUGUG
RNAcentral lists this long non-coding RNA (603 nucleotides) under Nicotiana benthamiana. RNAcentral describes it as "long non-coding RNA (NBEN_LNC017592)". Lineage: Eukaryota; Viridiplantae; Streptophyta; Magnoliopsida; Solanales; Solanaceae. The record is from RNAcentral.